GUGGACAGGUAAAAUGGAUUUAAUAGCUUCAAAAGGAAAUGGACAGCUUUAGUUUGUAAACUUGCAACUCACAUGAAAUGAAUGGAUGCUAAGGUGGCGAGGCCAAAAAAGGAUCGAGGUUCCAGUAAAAAUUAAAAAUAAAAGCAGAAACAUAUAUAUACACAUAAAGUCAUAAAGAAAGUGGCCUAUAUCUUCCAGUCAGAUCAUCUCAAUUUCCUAAAAUCAUAGUAUUCAUAGGAACCUUAUAAAACUCUCCUCCUUACUAAUCCAAUUUGACAACCAACUCAUAGGAAAGUAACAGCAAGCAACUACAGUUGAAUGCAAAAGUAACUACAUCAAGGAUAUACUAAC
Molecule: unclassified non-coding RNA, 351 nt
Filed under: Hevea brasiliensis (rubber tree)
Lineage: Eukaryota; Viridiplantae; Streptophyta; Magnoliopsida; Malpighiales; Euphorbiaceae
Source: RNAcentral